Molecule: long non-coding RNA, 1088 nt
Organism: Olea europaea var. sylvestris
Lineage: Eukaryota; Viridiplantae; Streptophyta; Magnoliopsida; Lamiales; Oleaceae
Exons: 2
Source: RefSeq, a predicted model, not a curated record
CACUUUCCAUCUUUGCGCUGAUCCGCCAUCUCAUGGUAUCUCAACGCCAUCAUCAUGCUAUCUGACAAAUCAGUAUCACUCGACUCGAAUCCUCCUACAUCAAUGAAGUAUUUGCAGGAAAGCCUUACAUCUGUGAUAUUAUCACAUAAUGUGGUACUCCACUUUUUCAUUGAAAAAGAAAAGAUACUUGCUGCAGUUGGAUCUGAUCCAACAGUAGAAGGUUUCUUUUGGCAGGCAUGACGAUACUGUCAUUUUUUCUAGAUUGAAGAACCUUUUCAGUUCUGUUGCUCACUUUUGUUGCUUGUUGAACUCCAAUAUUUUAGGUGAAUUACGUUGUUUUUCAUCCCUUUGAUGCAACAAUAUGUAGUGGAAUUGGACAUUUCUUCAAUUUGACGCGUUUUAACUAAUGACACGUGCUAUUUUCUUUCUAAAUGAUCACAACAUUUUAUUGGUAAAGUAUAUCACUGCUUGCGAGUAGUCCUUCAAGCACAGUGAAUCUCCGCUAUUGUUAGAAGAUUGACUCCAUUGGCUGCAGGAAAGUGUUAUCAUUCUAGCCAAGUUCUUUCUUUCUCAGUUGUUCGAUAAAAUGUCAAUGCAAGAUUUGAGAGUGCUAGUUGCUGAAUGGUCAACGGUGAAUUUUACAUAAGAGGAGAAAGUUUCAAAUUACCUCAUCAUUCCAUUGGGCUUGUAUUUGAUGGGUUCAUAAAAUUACAAGGUAAGAAGCCUAAACGUCAAAUUCGUGGGUUGAGAGAUGGUUACCUUCAAGACAUUGAUACAACUUCUUCCAAUGUACGCAUAGCCAAUGCAGCUAGAUGAAGAUGGCGCAAAGGAUGCAAAACAAGCUAAAGGUUGUUGAAAAAUAAUUCAAUUCUACAUUGCAUUCUUGGCAUUAUUCUAUACAUUAGCUAUAUAUGUGGUAAAGUUCCCGACUUUUCUGUAUCAUUUUUUAUACCAAUGUCAAUGGUGGAUAAUGCUAAUGAGGAAGAUGAUGCUACUAAGUGCGAAUAGAAUAACUUUGAUGAUGAACACAGCUUUAAUGAGGAUCAACAGCAUAUCUAAUUCAUGAUAAUGAGAAUUAUAUUUUUUUU